This 327-nucleotide unclassified non-coding RNA is filed under the name Hevea brasiliensis (rubber tree). The record is from RNAcentral. Lineage: Eukaryota; Viridiplantae; Streptophyta; Magnoliopsida; Malpighiales; Euphorbiaceae.
UUUUUCUUUUUGGAAUGAAUGAGCCAACUCUCCUUUAGACUUUCCCAUCAUGUUCAGUAGAAUCUGUUAUACCACCAUGUUUUUGUUGUCUAGCUGUCGGGAGCGUGUGACUCCGACGUUCUUUUCCACCGGGUUUCGAUGAGGCAUUACCGUACCAUAUCAUCCCGAUGACAGCUAUGAUCAUUCCCAAAACUACCUGCAUGUUAAGCCCUUCCUUCCCAAAGAAGAAGAAUCCCAUGAUUAACACAAGGAUUGUCUUCAUGUGGCCAAGAACUUGAAAUGACACAGCUGUGAAUCUGCCUAUGCAGAUAAAUUGGCUAAGAUUGG